CAGCCGCCGCGGUAAUACGUAGGGUGCAAGCGUUAAUCGGAAUUACUGGGCGUAAAGCGUGCGCAGGCGGUUAUAUAAGACAGAUGUGAAAUCCCCGGGCUCAACCUGGGAAUGGCAGUGGAUACUGGCAAGCUAGAGUGUGUCAGAGGAUGGUGGAAUUCCCGGUGUAGCGGUGAAAUGCGUAGAGAUCGGGAGGAACAUCAGUGGCGAAGGCGGCCAUCUGGGACAACACUGACGCUGAGGCACGAAAGCGUGGGGAGCAAACAGGAUUAGAUACCCCCGUAGUCCCUGUCUCUUAUAC
RNAcentral lists this ribosomal RNA (301 nucleotides) under uncultured bacterium. Its description in RNAcentral is "partial 16S ribosomal RNA". It matches the Rfam family "Bacterial small subunit ribosomal RNA", at positions 509 to 807 of the family's 1533-position model. The record is from RNAcentral.